UAUGAAGAACGUAGCGAAAUGCGAUAAGUAGUGUGAAUUGCAGAAUUCAGUGAAUCAUCGAAUCUUUGAACGCACAUUGCGCCCCUUGGUAUCCCGAGGGGCAUGCCUGUUCGAGCGUCAUUUCACCACUCAAGCCUGGCUUGGUGUUGGGCGACGUCCUCUUUGGGGACGCGCCUCGAAACGCUCGGCGGCGUGGCACCGGCUUUAAGCGUAGCAGAAUCUUUCGCUUUGGAAGUCGGGGCCCCGUCUGCCGGAAGACCUGCUCGCAAGGUUGACCUCGGAUCAGGCAGGGAUACCCGCUGAACUUAAGCAUAUCAAUAAGCGGAGGA
RNAcentral lists this unclassified non-coding RNA (329 nucleotides) under soil metagenome. RNAcentral's name for it is "partial contains 5.8S ribosomal RNA, internal transcribed spacer 2, and large subunit ribosomal RNA". The stretch from base 2 to 120 matches the Rfam family "5.8S ribosomal RNA", at positions 36 to 154 of the family's 154-position model. The record is from RNAcentral.